Molecule: non-coding RNA, 29 nt
Filed under: Homo sapiens (human)
Lineage: Eukaryota; Metazoa; Chordata; Mammalia; Primates; Hominidae
Source: RNAcentral
UCCUUGGGGUNCUAGUUGAGAGCCUUUGC